This is a long non-coding RNA of Varanus komodoensis (Komodo dragon), 567 nucleotides long. RefSeq lists it as uncharacterized. The transcript is spliced from 3 exons. NCBI's taxonomy places the organism in Eukaryota, Metazoa, Chordata, Lepidosauria, Squamata, Varanidae. The record is from RefSeq and is a predicted model, not a curated record.
AUUUGGGCUGCUGUACCUGACAUGGAAGAGGGACCAUACUGGCCCAACAUGCUGGGCUUGCUUCCUGGUGAAUGUUCUACAAAUGCACCUGCAAAGAAACUUGAACUCAGGGCUGCUGCAAAGUGGACCAGAGUCUUGGGAGCCGAGACCAUGGAGUCUGAGGAAUUCCCUCACUCAAAUGGAUUGCUCCCAUAUUCCUAGGUCCAGUGAAGGAAGGCAAGAUACUGGCUUCCAUGGAAUGGAGAGGUGGGACUGGUGGAUGAUCCCGAUUUCUUGUCUUCUGCAAUGUCAGCCUGGGCGCCAGGGACCUCUUGUGAAAGAAGCCCUCAACAGAGCUCUCCAUAGCUCACAAUGUGCUAUAAUUGGACGACAAUGUUCGCACACAUAUUUCUGAGCCUGGAGGGUUUUCCCCCACCUCUCCAUGUCUGAUGGCACAUCAAGGAAUACCGAUGAUUUCAGCUAAACUGGAUGCUUACCCACUCCUGUUGGCUUUCUCCCAGGAGAUUUUGCCCAAGGAAGAGACUAUGUUGGCUUGAAAGUGUGCUUCUCAUGAACUUUCAGUGGCAA